UUUUAGCCCCGAUGGUAACGGAAAUCCUUUUCUUUUUGCUUUCAAAAAGAAAAGAUUCGAGUGAACAGCGGGAAACAGC
This 79-nucleotide small RNA is filed under the name Flavobacterium sinopsychrotolerans. Its description in RNAcentral is "Flavo-1 RNA". It matches the Rfam family "Flavo-1 RNA". The record is from RNAcentral. Lineage: Bacteria; Pseudomonadati; Bacteroidota; Flavobacteriia; Flavobacteriales; Flavobacteriaceae.